Molecule: microRNA, 21 nt
Filed under: Mus musculus (house mouse)
Lineage: Eukaryota; Metazoa; Chordata; Mammalia; Rodentia; Muridae
Also listed under: 1 other name
Description: mmu-miR-9b-3p
Gene: mmu-miR-9b-3p
Source: miRBase by way of RNAcentral
AUACAGCUAGAUAACCAAAGA